This 396-nucleotide ribosomal RNA is filed under the name uncultured bacterium. RNAcentral describes it as "partial 16S ribosomal RNA". It matches the Rfam family "Bacterial small subunit ribosomal RNA", at positions 29 to 313 of the family's 1533-position model. The record is from RNAcentral.
AACGAACGCUGGCGGCAGGCCUAACACAUGCAAGUCGGACGCACUGCCCCCUUCGGGGGGCUGUGCAGAGAUCAGAUAUCGGAUGGCAGAUAUCAGAGAUCAGAGUGGAGCGCGGAUGCGAGCGCGAGCCUUUCUGACAUCUGACAUCUGACAUCUGGCAUCUGGCAUCUGCACUGCCCUCGCGGAGGGCAGUGAGUGGCGGACGGGUGAGUAACGCGUGGGAAUUUUCCUCAAGGUAGGGAACAACUCAGGGAAACUUGGGCUAAUACCCUAUGAUGCAGAGAUGCCAAAGAUUUUAUCGCCUUGGGAUGAGCCCGCGUCAGAUUAGGUAGUUGGUGGGUAACGGCCUACCAAGCCUGCGAUCUGUAGCUGGUCUGAGAGGACGAUCAGCCACAC